Nannospalax galili (Upper Galilee mountains blind mole rat) is the source of this 1379-nucleotide RNA transcript. It is a transcript of the gene named phosphoglycerate kinase 1 pseudogene, with no coding region annotated. The record is from RefSeq and is a predicted model, not a curated record. Lineage: Eukaryota; Metazoa; Chordata; Mammalia; Rodentia; Spalacidae. The transcript has a single exon.
AUGUUGCUUUCUAACCAACUGACCCUGGAUGUGAAAGGAAAGCAUGUCAUUAUGAGAAUGGAUGACAAUGUUCCUGUGAAGAACAACCAGAUAACAAAUAACCAAAGGAUCAAGGGUGCUGUCCCAAGCAUCAAAUUCUGCUUAGACAAUGGAGCAAAGUCAUUUGUCCUUGGGAGCCACCUGGGCCAGCCUGAUGGUGUUCCCAUGCCUAAUAAGUACUCCUCAGAGCCAGCUGGUGCAAUACCCAAACCUCUGUUAUACAAGGAUCUUCUGUUCUUUAAGAACUCUGUGGGACCAGAAGCAGACAGAGCCCAUGUCAACCUGGCAGCUGGGUCUGUCAUCUGCUGGAGAACUUCCACUUUCAUGUGGAGGAAGAAGGGAAGGUAAAGAUGCUUCUGGGAACAAGGUUAAAACUGGACCAGACAAAAUAGAUGCCUUCCGAGCUUCGCUGUCCACACUAGGGGAUGUGAGUGUCAACGAUGUUUUUGUCACUGCCCACUGAGCCCACAGCUCUGCGGUGAGUGUCAAUCUGCCACAGAAGGCUGGUAGAUUUUUGAUAAAGGAGCUGGACUAACUUGCCAAGGCCUUCAAGAACACAGAGCAACCCUUUCUGGCCAUCUUGGGUUUAGCUAAAGUUGCAGACAAGGUCCAGUUGGUCAGUAAUAUGCUGGACAAAGUCAAUGAGACGAUCUUUGGCGGUAGAAUGGCUUUUACCUUCCUUAAAGUACUCAACAACGGGGAGAUUGGCACUUUUCUGCACCAUGACGGAGCCAAGAUUGUUAAAGAUCGCAUGUCCAAAACUGAGAGAAAAGGUGUGAAGGUCACCUCGCCUGGUGACUUUGUCACUGCUGACAUGUUUGAUGAGAAUGGCAAGGCUGGCCAAGCUGCUGUGGUCUCUGGUACACCUGCUGGCCAGACGGGCUUGGACUGUGGUCUGAGAGCACCAAGAAUAAUCUGAGGCACCCUGUUUGGAAUGUUAAACCAAGUCCCUCAUGAAUGAGGUGGUGAAAACUACUUCCAGGGGCUGCAUCACUAUCAUAGGUGGAGACACUGCCACAUGCAGUGCCAAAUGGAGCACAGAGGGUAAAGUCAGUCGUGUUAGCACUGGGCAGUGUAGUAUAGAACUCCUGGAAGGUAAAGUCCUUCAUGGGGUGGUGCUAUCAACAAUGUUUAGUACUUACCUGCCUUUUGGUUUCUGUGCACAGCCCCUAAGUCAACUUAGUGUUUUCUGCAUCUCCAUUUGGUGUUGGUACAAGAUUCAGCUGGUGGUCACGAGAGGCAGCACCAGUAACCCUUACACAGUUGCACAGAAUCUCAGCUCAUCUUUACUGGGAUUGUCUGCAUUCUUCCAGAUCCCGUUUAAAUUCCUUAAUGACUGA